Molecule: ribosomal RNA, 1340 nt
Filed under: Phytophthora boehmeriae
Lineage: Eukaryota; Oomycota; Peronosporomycetes; Peronosporales; Peronosporaceae
Description: eukaryotic LSU rRNA
Rfam family: Eukaryotic large subunit ribosomal RNA
Source: RNAcentral
CCCGCUGAACUUAAGCAUAUUAAUAAGCGGAGGAAAAGAAACUAACAAGGAUUCCCCUAGUAACGGCGAGUGAAGCGGGAAGAGCUCAAGCUUAAAAUCUCUGCGCAAGUUUUGCGUGGCGAAUUGUAGUCUAUAGAAGCGUGGUCAGCGCGAGCGCUUGGGGUAAGUUCCUUGGAAGAGGACAGCAUGGAGGGUGAUACUCCCGUUCAUACCUGAGUGGCUUGUGCGUACGACCCGUUUUCUUUGAGUCGCGUUGUUUGGGAAUGCAGCGCAAAGUAGGUGGUAAAUUCCAUCUAAAGCUAAAUAUUGGUGCGAGACCGAUAGCGAACAAGUACCGUGAGGGAAAGAUGAAAAGAACUUUGAAAAGAGAGUUAAAGAGUACCUGAAACUGCUGAAAGGGAACCGAAUCGUUUCCAGUGUCUAUAAUCUGCGGCAUAUUUCAUUGGCGAGUGUGUGCGUGCGUGUGCUUUUGCAGUGGCUUUUUUGGCUGCGCUGGGUGCGUGCUGUGCGUGUGUUUGCUGGUGCCCUGUGCUGCGGUGGGACGUCAAGGUCAGUUCGUAUGCUGCGGGAAAUGGCUGCCGGGGAGGUAGGGCUUACGCUUGCGUUUGUCUGUUAUAUCUUGGUGGACGAGUCGUCGCGGUUGGGACUGAGGUGCCUACAACGUGCUUUUGAGUGUGUGGAACUCUCUGUGUGCGCGCUGUGCGGAUAGCUUGCUAUGUGUGCGGUGCUGUGCGUGGAUUGAGGUCUGCUGUAACUUGUUGCCGUUCGGGACGUUGACGAAAUGGAGCGAUCCGACCCGUCUUGAAACACGGACCAAGGAGUCUAACAUGUGUGCAAGUGUUAGGGUGUGGAAACCCAAGCGCGAAAUGAAAGUGAAGGGCAGCGCAAGUUGUCUGAGGUAGGAAACGUGUGGCCUUUCGGGGCUGUGCGUGGCACUAUCGACCGAUCAUGAACCUUCGUGGUGAAAGAUUUGAGUUUGAGCACAUAUGUUGGUACCCGAAAGAUGGUGAACUAUGCCUGAGUAGGGUGAAGCCAGGGGAAACUCUGGUGGAAGCUCGUAGCGAUUCUGACGUGCAAAUCGAUCGUCAAACUUGGGUAUAGGGGCGAAAGACUAAUCGAACCAUCUAGUAGCUGGUUCCCUCCGAAAUUUCCCUCAGGAUAGCAGCAACUUAUUUACGAUAGUUUUAUGAGGUAAAGCGAAUGAUUAGAGGAUUCGGGGAAGAAACUUCCUCGACCUAUUCUCAAACUUUAAAUCUGUAAGACCUGCCGGUUUCUUAAUUGAACUGGCGGAUGUGAAUAUCAAGUUGCUAGUGGGCCAUACGGGGUAAGCUCGUCUGGCG